CCUACGGGUGACAGCAGUGAGGAAUAUUGGUCAAUGGCCGUAAGGCUGAACCAGCCAAGUAGCGUGAGGGAAGACUGCCCUAUGGGUUGUAAACCUCUUUUAUGCGGGGAUAAAGGUGUCCACGUGUGGAUGUUUGCAGGUACCGCAUGAAUAAGGACCGGCUAAUCCCGUGCCAGCAGCCGCGGUAAUACGGAGGGUCCGGGCGUUAUCCGGAUGGAUUGGGUUUAAAGGGAGCGUAGGCCGGUCUUUAAGCGUGCCGUGAAAUUUUGUGGCUCAACCAUGAGAGUGCGGCGCGAACUGGAGACCUUGAGUGCGCGGAAGGCAGGCGGAAUUCGUGGUGUAGCGGUGAAAUGCUUAGAUAUCGCGAAGAACCCCGAUUGCGAAGGCAGCCUGCCGCAGCGUUACUGACGCUGAAGCUCGAAAGCGCGGGUAGCGAACAGGAUUAGAUACCCCUGUAGUC
RNAcentral lists this ribosomal RNA (460 nucleotides) under uncultured bacterium. Its description in RNAcentral is "partial 16S ribosomal RNA". It matches the Rfam family "Bacterial small subunit ribosomal RNA", at positions 338 to 795 of the family's 1533-position model. The record is from RNAcentral.